Podarcis lilfordi (Lilford's wall lizard) is the source of this 21172-nucleotide non-coding RNA. Lineage: Eukaryota; Metazoa; Chordata; Lepidosauria; Squamata; Lacertidae. The record is from the annotation of a GenBank genome assembly.
GGAGGUCAAGUGUCACCUUAGGGAAGAGGCGAGUAAUGAUGUUUAGGUAGUGGCUUAGAACCUAAGCGUUUAAGAAGCUCAUUCUAAAGGACAAACGUGUUUGGGGAAAAUGUCAGAUCACAAAGGACGAUGGGAUUCAGGAGGAAGGGAGGCUCCUUGUGGACGUAAGACAAAUUCCGUAAAUGUGACUGAAAAGUAUGGCUUACAUUUCAGUCCCCCAAUUUGUCUGCUACGUUCUAUAAGUUUCUCAACCACUGCCACUUGUCAACCUUGUUCUAGCAUCCAGCCGGAGAAAAAUUGGUAUGAGAUGAUCUCCAAUGGUGUGCAACUUUUAGUCUGGCUGCCAUUGCCAAUAGCAUAAUCAAAUAUUUUGUACAAAGUGUUUUGCAUAUUUUAUGGAAAGGCUAAACCUGGGCCAGUAGGGUGCGUCGUAGUUUGUUAAGGGUAUUGCUAGGUAAAGGGGCCCCUGACCAUUAGGUCCGGUCGUGGACAACUCUGGGGUUGCGGCGCUCAUCUCGUUUUAUUGGCUGAGGGAGCCGGCGUACAGCUUCCAGGUCAUGGGACCAGCAUGACUAAGCACAUGGAAAUGCCGUUUACCUUCCCACCGGAAUGGUUCCUUUUUAUCUACUUGCACUUUGAUGUGCUUUCGAACUGCUAGGUUGGCAGGAGCUGGGACCGAGCAAUGGGAGCUCACCCCGUCGCGGAGAUUCAAACCGCCGACCUUCUGAUCGGCAAGCCCUAGGCUCUGUAGUUUAGAAACUGUAGCUCUGGGAGGGGAAUGCGGGUUUCCUAAAAGCACUGAGGAGCUGCUGCCAACUGAUUUUCCCUCUCCCUGGGAGCCUACUGUGGAAGACAGAGCGCAUGAGGAACGUGCCUCAGAGGAAAACAAACCGAAGGAUGGAGAUGAAAAGCUGCUGCUUCGAGAUCUCUUCACUCCCUGUGUGCCAGAAGGUGCAGGAGGAGAUGAAAGAGGUCUGCCUGCAUGAGCAAGAGGAAUCGGUGUCUGUGGAAAUGACAGGAGAAGAGGGACAGCAGGAGAAAUUGGAGGCACAUGUGAAUGGGCAAGAGGAACAGAAAUGGUUGUGGAAGAGAAAGGGCAACAGGAGGGAUCAGGCUCUUAAUUAGAAGGUUGGUGAUUCGAACCCUCCCAGGGACGGCUGUGGGCAGGAUUGCGGGGGUUGGACUAGGUGACUCUCAGGGUCCCUUCCAACUCUACAAUUCUGUUCUCAGGGCUGAAGUGGGUGAGAUAAAGUCCUCAAAUGUCUUUGCCCCUUGAGCUGUCAGUGGCUCUGUACCAGCUGAACCACAAGUGGAUAUUCGGUUGUCGCUCCCAUGUUCCACUUGUGAGUUUCACAUGGACGUCUGGUUGACCACAGAGGGCUGGACUAGAUGGGCCUUUGGCCUCAUCCUGCAGAGCUCUCCUUCUGUUCUCAUGACAGGCUUUGCAUUGUCGCCGGCAGAAGCGGGAGCUCCAACUCAAGGAGAUUGGUCCGGGAAAGGAGCCAAAACUGGCCUGCGGUUUAUGGCAUGGCGCCAGGUGAUCAGGUCAUCAGGGCAAGCCAGGGCUGCGUUUCAGGCCCACUUUCCCCACCAGGGUUGCCUUCAGCCGGCUGGCUCCCUCCUUGCUUGAAGAAGAACAAACCUUUCUUCCCUUCAGCAGCAACAGCCGCCUCCAAAGAAGAAAAAUCCUGCUGACCAUUAUGUCUAAAAAAGGUUGUGGAAUGCCUGGCUGAGCAGGCCCUCAGGGUAGAACCGCCCAGGCCGGCUGCAGCAUAAUCGAAAUUUAUCCCGUGGAAUCUUCUGUUGUUUUUUAAUGUCGCUCAGCCUUAAAGGUUUUAUCCUACUUUCAACUUUCCCAUGGGAAAAAAAAAAUCUAGCAUGCCGUGAAGGGGACGGACAAUGCUCUCUCUCCCCCAACCCCAAAGCACUGUAAUUAAUUCCAGAAGGAAAUCAGGGAGCAGCAGCAAGAGUGGGAGACACAACAAAAUCUGCAUCAGAUUGAAAAGGAAAUAUAAACUUGUCACCUUGUUAAAGGGGAAACUCUAGCACCUGGCUAGCCUUCUUGGAAAGGUGGCUUCUGGGUAUUCCCGCCCCAGACGAGGGUUGGGGAACAGACUCUCGCUACCCCCAGCUUGGCCCAACAGUCAGGGAGGAUGGGAGUUCAGUUCAGCUCGGGAUGAGCGAAUCUGCCAACUUUGCUUUCUCUCACUUUCCCAUUGUUCCACUCUUAAGGUCUUCUCUCCACAUUUCCACAUCAGCUUGCAGUAUUAUUUUUUUUAAGUCCUCAUGAAGAAGAAGAAGAAGAAAAGUUUGGAUUUGAUAUCCCGCUUUAUCACUACCCGAAGGAGUCUCAAAGCGGCUAACAAUCUCCUUUCCCUUCCUCCCCCACAACAAACACUCUGUGAGGGGAGUGGGGCUGAGAGACUUCAGAGAAGUGUGACUGGCCCAAGGUCACCCAGCAGCUGCAUCUGGAGGAGCGGGGAUCGAACCCGGUUCACCAGAUUACGAGUAUACAGCUGUUAACCACUACACCACACUGGCUCUCAUGAAAAUGUAACAGCAUUUUGGUGCAAUUUUUUUUAGUAUUUAUCUGUCUACUUAUUUAUUGCAUGUAUGUCUCCACCUUUUCCUCCAAAGAUCUCAGCACGGCACGUACAUGGUCAUCCUCCACUCGCUUAACCCCCACAACAACCCUGUGAGGCUGGCAGGCAGUGUGACUGGCCCAAGGUCACCCAGUUGAGAGCUUCAGGGCAGAGUGAGGAUUGGAACUCCGUUUUCCCAGGCCCCAGUCUGACAUUCUAACCUCUCCUCUACAGUCUUGCCUAACAGACCCAUUUUUGCAAAGCGAUUUCCCUUAAUACAAUGCAUUUUUGCGUUAUAUCUUUUACUGUUCACUUUUAUAGGAAGACUUUCCCCUGGUGCAUGCACAAAACUGGGUUUGAGAACUGCAAAAUUUUGAUAAUGUGCACAUUUUGAAAGAUGCGCACCUGUGCAACCACCACACAAAACCAACUGUGGAAUGUUUCAUCUAGUCAUAGAACUACAGGACAGGAAGGGACUCCAAGGGUCAUCUAGCCCAACCCCCUGGGGCUGACAGCAAGAAUGAUAGCUAACUGAUUAUUGGCAGGUGCCCAUCCAACCUCUGUAUAAAAACCUCUAACGAAGCAGAGCCCACCAUCUGAUGCAUGAAACGUUGCAGCGUUUUAGCAGGAAGCUGCAGGAGCUGCUGCAAUAGCUCAGUUGGUAGAGCAUGAGACUCUUGAUCUCAGGGUUGUGGGUUCGAGCCCUGUGUUGGACAAAAGAUUCCCGCAUUGAAGCGGUUGGACUAAAUGACCUUUUGUGGCUCCUUCCAAUUCUAUGAUUCUACACAUUGAUUUAAAACACAGCAGAAUGUCUGCUCUGGAACUUGUGCAGGUGCAAAGAGGGACUGAGAGUAGGAGCAUGGGUGCCCAAUUACUUUGACUGGAAACCUGUGCGUCUUCUUCCCUUCUAGUGCUUCAGUGUGUAUAUCACCACCAGAUUUUCAGCAUAUCUAGCCUUUUGCUGCACAAGUGAAACUGAUAACAAAACUUGAAAAUAAUGCGAGGGAAAAGCUCUGUCUUUUACAGCCUCAAUGCAAGUACUUUUCUUUCUCCACAAGGAUACUGAAGCUGAAAGCAGGGACGUAAUGCUUCUCUUAGGCUGACCCCAGAGGCAUCUAUUUCCUUUCAUCAUCUCCUCACUUUCUACCUUCCAGUCUGUCCAACAUGCCUUUUUUAACCUGCAAGUUCAUGGCCCUUGUAAGUGGCUUAAGCACGGCAGGGGAGCUGACCUCUUAAUCCUAGGUGAACACUUAGUCUUUAAAUUUCAGCAAAGUUUAGCUACCGCAUACACUUAAAGGGGACACUGGGAAGAAAUGCCAAUUGUAAUCUCCCCUCAGCUUAAAUCCCCUCCUGCCUCGUCAUCAAAACCUCCUUUUUUAGGUGGGUGGGAAGAGUCGGUAUGAAAUGACCAUUUAAUGCCCUGCCAACUUGUGACAGUCCGUAGAGACAGGCAAAUCCAUUUCAGUUUCUCAUUUGUCCAGUCUUAAAUUCAGUUCUCCAUGUUUCCACACCAGCUUGUAAUUAAACAAACAAACAAACAAACAAAAUCCACCAAUCCUCAUUGUAGUACAAUUUUUCCUCAAUUAACACAUUUUUGUAUGUAAUCUUGUUUAAUACAUCCUUCCUUCCUUCCUUCCUUCCUUCCUUCCUUCCUUCCUUGGAAUAUGUUAAAGAGAAGAUUGCAGGCCAGUGUAAAAAUACUGGCUAAGCUUCCUUUCAAAGCUAGGACUUCACCUGGGAAAGAGAUGUUAACAUGACAAGAAGUGUUGAGGGCCCGUAACAGAGGAACCCUUGGACAGAGGAUGGCCAAGGUGGUGGGUUAGGGAGAGACAUCGCAAUGUUGGCUCCCCCAAUCACACUCGGAAGCUGGCGCCUCUGACCCUAACUGUUCCCCUACGAAAAUUUUCACUGCCCACCACCCGGAACCCCUUGCAAUCUUGCUACCACUCGGCAGACAAUGGAGGUGGUACCCAACUUCUGUAACAGUAUUAUUUCCAAACUACUGAGCACACCACUUUAGAACCAGGGUGGCAAACCCUGUGGCCCUCCAGAUGUUCCCAUCACUUCCAGUCGGCAUGGGCAGUGGUCGCGGAUGAUGGGAACCAGAGUCCGGCCACAUCUGGUUUAGAGGAAGGCAAAGCUUAAAAAAAGUUUAAAAAAAUAAGGUCCGUAUAGUUAAAGCUAUGGUUUUCCCAGUAGUGAUGUAUGGAAGUGAGAGCUGGACCAUAAAGAAGGCUGAUCACCGAAGAAUUGAUGCUUUUGAAUUAUGGUGCUGGAGGAGACUCUUGAGAGUCCCAUGGACUGCAAGAAGAUCAAACCUCUCCAUUCUGAAGGAAAUCAGCCCUGAGUGCUCACUGGAAGGACAGAUCCUGAAGCUGAGGCUCCAAUACUUUGGCCACCUCAUGAGAAGAGAAGACUCCCUGGAAAAGACCCUGCUGUUGGGAAAGAUGGAGUGCACAAGGAAACGGGGACGACAGAGGACGAGAUGGUUGGACAGUGUUCUCGAAGCCACCAGCAUGAGUUUGACUAAGCUGCGGGAGGCAGUGGAAGACAGGAGAGCCUGGCGUGCUCUGGUCCAUGGAGUCGCGAAGAGUCGGGCACGACUAAACGACUAAACAACAACAACAACAAAAGCUAAAAAUCUCCAGAUUAUUCCAAACAGAAGUGCACAGCUCCCCUUUCCCCUGCAGCUUCCAGGAGAUCUCGUGCAUGCCUCAAGAGUACCAAACCCGGCCUUGACAUCAAUCAUGUGGUGUCUGAGUUUGCCUUUCCCCCCAUCUCUUCUCUUCCUUCCUCGCCCCGUUUCCCUUUUGUUCCCUGCCCUUCUUUAUUGAAAGCCCGAGGGGCAGAGACUGAGCUUUUAUGGCUCUGCGUGAGGCUGCGGUAGCCUUUCCUGGCUGAAGAGCAAGGUAUAAAUGUUCCGAACAAAUACGAGUUCAAAAGUCUCUGCGACUGGGUGGCAGCUGUUUCUUGAAAGCUUGUCUAGAACUUUUUGCAGAACGGGUGGGAAGGAGGAGGAAGGGGGAGAUGGUGGCGGGGAACUCCAUGUGACCAUCCCAGUUACUCACGCCCCAUCCAGAGCGAACAAAAGGCUUUAAAGCGCUGCUGCCCACGUAGGCUGUCUAGUUGGCUGCAAAUGAGCUAUUUUGCUCUAAUGAGGCAUCUCUCUCCCCCCCCCCGUACUGUACCAAGGAAGCCCAGAUUGCACACGAAGCAUGAAAUCCAGACUGCGGGAACAGACGCCGAGCAGAACAUGCUUCUUCCCCUGCCCUUUGUGGUGGUUUUGGAGCUUCCAAAAACAGAUGGAGAAACGAACUGCCUGUGUCCCUUCAUCCUCCAAAACGCCUGUUCUGUGCCUGGGAUUAUACACAAGGGUCAAGACAGUGGCCCGUUUUAUUUUUAUUUAUGAAAUGUGUAUACAGUGGCACCUUGGUUCUCAAACACCUUGGUACUCGAACAACUUACCUGCAAGCACUGCAAACCCGGAAGUAAGUGUUCUGGUUUGCAGACCUUUUCUCGGAAGCCUAAUGUGCUCUGUUUUGAGUGUUACGCUUCUGUUUUGAGUGUUACGCUGAGGUCUGUCUGUUUUUGCUAUUUAUUUUGCGUUUUUGUUUUCGCAGCUCUUUUUGUUUUGACUGUGUGGAACCCAGUUCAGCUACUGAUUGAUUUGAUUGUGUGACUGCAGUACAUUGUUUAUUGCUUUCAUUUUAUGGCUCAAUGGUCUCGUUAGAUAGUAAAAAACACAUGUUAAAUUGCUGUUUUAGGGGUUGUUUUCAAAAGUCUAGAACGGAUUAAUCCAUUUUGCAUUACUUUCUAUGGGAAAGCGAGCCUUGGUUUUGGAACGGACUUCCGGAACAGAUUAAGUUUGAGAACCAAGGUACUACAGUACCGCCUUUGAUCCGAGGGCGGUUCACGACAUAAAAAUACAACAUGAGAGCACAAAACACAUAAUAAAACAGAAUCAAUCCAGGAGCACCACUCCCAUGAACACAUUUCAGAGGACAUAAGGCCCUUGCCUGAAACCCUGGAGAGCUGCUGCCAGUCAGUGCAGGCAGUACUAAGUGAGAUGCACCAAUGGCCUGACUUGGCAUAACACAGCUUUCUAGCAUAGUAGAUACUAUCACGGUAAAGUAAAUAAAAAUGCUGCUGUUGCAGUCACAGGAGAGGCAGCCAAGAAAAUAUUUGUCCAUCUCAUGCAUAGGGCUGGGGACCCACCGGGGCAUAGCAGCUAGGCUGGGCAGGUUUGGGUUCAAAUCCCAUUAUUAAAUCUCCGUUCACAACUAAUUUCUCCAUAUAAUCACAUCACGGCACCAGACCUGCUGCUCUGUCUCAUGGUAUUAUGUACCACAGACCGAAAAAAGGCACUCCGUAGGUGUGUGGGAGGCAGCCUUUGAGGGGAAAUCAUCGAUAAUAAAAAGCUUUCUUCCUCUGAAAACAAUUAGCGUCCCAGCUCUCCAAAUCCCGGUGCUCUAAAGCUGCUCAAAGGAGCAUUUCCGUUACCUGUGUUAAAACAGAUCAAGUUGAGUAAUUGCACGUUAAAUAUUAUGAUUUCACCACAAGGUAACUCUCUGCUAAAAGGUAUCGUGGGUGUUUUGCCGAGCUCCACGUAAAGUGCACUCAAGCCACAUGUUAUUUCCUAAAUAGAUUUCUUUCUUUCUUUCCUUCUUUUUCACAAAGAACAUUAUGUAUUACUGGGAGGGAGGAACUUCGCAAGAUCUCAGCAGCAACACCCAACUCAACCAGAAUGCAGCUGUUCUGCAAGACAACAAGCAAUUUAGGGCAUCUCCAUAUCACCUGCUUAUGCCCGUGUUUAUCCUGGUUUGCUUGUGCAAGGCUUACACAGUGGUGAGACUAUGCCCAGUUUUUAUUCAGCAGCCAUUCUGAUUUAUUUAUAGAGUAUGGAAAGCAUUCAGCCUGAUUUACUUACGGGGUAUUUACACAUUUUCUUGUUGGGCCAACUACUCACCCCGCACUUUUCAAUGCUUUUCCCUGUAACUUUCCAAACUGCAAAAAGCCCAUUGUUGUUUAUAGAAGUGGAUUUGUUUUAACUGUGCUUUCUCCCUCACAGAGCUACAAUUCCCAGCACCCUUAAGCUAUAUUGGAUAGUUUAUUGCUUUAUUGUUCGGCGUCCAGCACGCUUCCCCCUGCGAGCCUCUGCAGGUCGUAAAGCAAUUAGCAAUUAGCAAAGUUGCACAGCGGUCGUGUGUCGAAAGAGCAGUAAAUCAGUCCCAAACGUUGCUUCUGUCCUAAUAUCUCUUUAUUGGAACAAAAUAGCGUAUUUACAAUCUCCAACAGCCAUCCGAGUUAAGCUGCAUCUUCUUUCUCUGCUUGCAGCGUCUGAACAGACUGCUUUCGAUUUCCACUCAGCUCACAGCAUACAAAGCUGCUUUCCUCACGUCCUGGCUUACUUCCCUUGUAAGCCCCACCUCUCAGGCUCGAGGCAUAGAAGGUUAACCCUUCACUACACCCAACACCCCCUCUUGUCUCGCGCCUGAGGGGAGAAUCGACCCUUGGUCGUCCCAAACCCAGACCUUCGCAAAACUCUCCAUGUCUUUGGAAGGAGAGUGGCUUCGUGAACCCAUCAGCUAGGUUCUUGGCAGAGGGACAGUACCUCAGCGCAACUAAUCCCUCCUGAACACUCUGGCACACAUUCCGAAAGCGAAUGUCUAGGUGUUUAGUUCUGGCCUUGAAUUGACCCGUUUCGGCCAAACGAAGGCAUGGUUGAUUGUCCUCGAAAACACGUGUCAGCAGACAAUCCACUUCGCAGAGUUCCUGCACUAAGCAAGCUAGAAUCAUAGAAUCAUAGAAUCAUAGAAUCAUAGAGUUGGAAGAGACCACAAGGGCCAUCGAGUCCAACCCCCUGCCAAGCAGGAAACACCAUCAGAGCACUCCUGACAUAUGGUUGUCAAGCCUCUGCUUAAAGACCUCCAAAGAAGGAGACUCCACCACACUCCUUGGCAGCAAAUUCCACUGUCGAACAGCUCUUACUGUCAGGAAGUUCUUCCUAAUGUUUAGGUGGAAUCUUCUUUCUUGUAGUUUGGAUCCAUUGCUCCGUAUCCGCUUCUCUGGAGCAGCAGAAAACAACCUUUCUCCCUCCUCUAUGUGACAUCCUUUUAUAUAUUUGAACAUGGCUAUCAUAUCACCCCUUAACCUCCUCUUCUCCAGGCUAAACAUGCCCAGCUCCCUUAGCCGUUCCUCAUAAGGCAUCGUUUCCAGGCCUUGGACCAUUUUGGUUGCCCUCCUCUGGACACGGUCCAGUUUGUCAGUGUACUUCUUGAACUGUGGUGCCCAGAACUGGACACAGUACUCCAGGUGAGAUCUGACCAGAGCAGAAUACAGUGGCACUAUUACUUCCCUUGAUCUAGAUGCUAUACUCCUAUUGAUGCAGCCCAGAAUUGCAUUGGCUUUUUUAGCUGCCGCGUCACACUGUUGGCUCAUGUCAAGUUUGUGGUCAACCAAGACUCCUAGAUCCUUUUCACAUGUACUGCUCUCAAGCCAGGUGUCCCCCAUCUUGUAUUUGUGCCUCUCAUUUUUCUUGCCCAAGUGCAAUACUUUACAUUUCUCCCUGUUAAAAUUCAUCUGUAGCCACCUCCAACGACACGUUCUCAAGAUGGAGGGGGAGGGAACAGCUGCAGUCGCCUGCGGUUCCUGCGCAAUGUUUGCCAUGUUGCCAAAGGUUGCAGGCAGCUUUACCUGCAGCAAUUGCAUGUUGAUUGCCCUCUUAGAAGACAAAGUCCAGCAACUGGAGAAACGUGUAGCUACGCUCCAAAGAAUUAGAGAGCUAGAGCUCUUCUUGGAAGCAACAGAGCACACCGUCUCCACCAAGGAGGAGACAGGGGACUCCCCUGAGAAGGAGGCUAGUUCACCAACACAGGAGCCAGAUAUAUGGAGAAACGUGACUCAAAGAAGUAGGAGGCCCAGGGUUCGCUCUGAUUGUUUAGAAAUACACAAUCGCUUUGAGGUCCUCUCCCCUAGCAUGGAAGACGAAGAGCAGACUCCAUUUGAGGAUCUCUCCUCAUUACAGUCGAUCAGGUAUAUGAAGACGAGCAGCAAAGUCAGUCCUCAGGGAAUGUGCAGGUGACCUUGGAACGGACAGCUCACGGAAGAACGCCGACCAAACCUAAGAGGAGGCGUGUAGUGGUGAUAGGGGAUUCCCUACUGAGGGGAACAGAAGCAGUGAUCUGUGGGCCUGACAAGAUGUCUCGGGAAGUGUGCUGUCUCCCUGGGGCUAAGAUCCAAGAUGUAACUGAACGACUGCAAGGAAUCAUAAAACCCACUGACAAAUACCCCUUCCUCUUGGUUCAUGUGGGAACCAAUGACACUGCAAGCAAUAGCCUCCAGAAGAUCAAAAGAGACUACGAGGCUCUGGGCAGGAAAUUGAAGCAAUUAAAUGCACAAAUUGUCAUCUCAUCUGUCCUCCCAGUUGAACGACGUGGCCCAGGGAGAGAGGGGAAAAUAGUGGAAGUGAACAGCUGGCUUCGCAAAUGGUGUAAACAGGAACGGUUUGGAUUCUUAGAUCAUGGACUGCAGUUUCUUGAAGAUGGACUUCUGGCAAGUGAUGGGCUACACCUCACAACGGUUGGGAGGAAUGUUUUUGCCAAAAAUCUCAGAAACCUCAUCAGGAGGGCUUUAAACUGACUAAUGUGGGGGAGGGAGACAGUGCUCCUGAAGGUAGGAGUCUAUCAAUUGAUGAAGAUGAUCAUCCAAAAGAUAGAGCAAAUGGAACAAACAGCACGCAGACCUAGUGGUGGGAGGAAAAAAUCCUUAAAUAAGAGUCAUGGGGGAAUGAUUAAUGGACUUCAAUGUCUGUACACUAAUGCGCAAAGCAUGGGAAAUAAACAAGAUGAGCUUGAGCUCUUGGUACAGCAAACUAAAUAUGACAUAAUAGGCAUCACUGAAACCUGGUGGGAUAAGUCCCACGAUUGGAAUGUAAUAAUGGAGGGAUACAAUCUAUUUCAGAGAAACAGACCAGACAAGAAAGGAGGAGGAGUGGCGUUACAUGUCAGGGAUGUGUAUACCUGUGAAGAGAUCCAAGAUUUAGAACCUCAAAGCCAAAGUGAGAGCAUUUGGGUCAAAAUUAAGGGAGAGAAGAAUAACAGUGACCUCAUUGUGGGAGUUUACUAUAGAUCCCCAAGCCAAACGGAGGACAUAGAUGAUGCCUUCCUGGAACAGAUGGCCAAGCAUGCAAAAGGAAGGGAGAUAGUAGUAAUGGGGACUUCAAUUACCCGGAUAUUUGUUGGAUGUCAAACUCAGCCAAGAGCAUAAGGUCAAACAGAUUCCUCACUGGCCUUGCAGACAACUUCAUUGUCCAGAAAGUGGGAGAAGCAACAAGAGGAACAGCCAUUUUAGAUCUGGUCCUAACCAAUGUUGAUGACCUGGUUAGUGGGGUAGAAGUGGAAGGAUCAUUAGGCGCGAGUGAUCAUGCUCUUCUGAAGUUUACUAUACAGCGGAAAGGAGCAGCCAAGCAUACUAGGACUCAAUUUCUUGACUUUAAGAAAGCCGACUUCAUAAAACUUAGGGAAGUGCUGGGUGAGAUCCCAUGGACAGUAAUACUAAAAGGAAAGGGAGUUCAUGAUGGCUGGGAGUUUGUUAAGAGGGAGAUAGUAAAAGCACAACUUCAAGCAAUACCAAUGAGACAGAAACAUGGAAGGUGCCUAAAGAAGCCAGGGUGGCUAUCUAAAGAACUUUUAACUGAGUUAAGAUUAAAAAAGGAUGUGUACAAAAAUGGAAAAGGGGGGGAACCACCAAAGAGGAAUUCAAACAAAUAGCCAGCACGUGUAGACACAAAGUCAGAGAAGCUAAAGCACAGAAUGAACUCAGGCUUGCUAGAGAGGUUAAAAGCAACAAAAAAGGCUUUUAUGGGUAUGUUCAUAGAAAAAGGAAGAACAAAGAAACAGUGGGGUCACUCAGAGGAGAAGAUGGUGAAAUGCAAACAGGGGACACAGAAAGGGCUGAACUCCUCAAUGCCUUCUUUGCCUCAGUCUUCUCCGAUAAAGAAAACAAUGCCUGACCUGAAGAAUUUGGAGCAAAUGAUUCAGCAGAGGAAACACAGCCCAGAAUAACUAAAGAGAUAGUACAAGAAUACUUGGCUAGUUUAGAUGUAUUCAAGUCUCCAGGGCCAGAUGAACUGCAUCCAAGAGUAUUAAAAGAACUGGCAGAUGUGAUCUCAGAACCACUGGCAGUCAUCUUUGAGAAUUCCUGGAGAACAGGCGAAGUCCCGGCAGACUGGAGGAGGGCAAAUGUUGUCCCUAUUUUCAAAAAGGGGAAAAGAGAGGACCCAAAUAAUUACCGCCCAGUCAGUCUGACAUCAAUACCAGGGAAGAUUCUGGAACAGAUCAUUAAGCAAACAGUCUGUGAGCACCUAGAAAGGAAUGCUGUGAUCACCAAUAGUCAGCAUGGAUUUCUGAAAAAUAAGUCAUGUCAGACUAACCUGAUCUCGUUUUUGACAGAAUUACAAGCCUGGUAGAUGAAGGGAACGCAGUGGAUGUAGCCUACCUUGAUUUCAGCAAGGCAUUUGACAAGGUGCCCCAUGAUAUUCUUGUAAAGAAGCUGGUAAAAUGCGGUCUUGACUAUGCUACCACUCAGUGGAUUUGUAACUGGCUGACUGACCGAACCCAAAGGGUGCUCAUCAAUGGUUUCUCUUCAUCCUGGAGAAGAGUGACUAGUGGGGUGCCACAGGGUUCUGUCUUGGGCCCGGUCUUAUUCAACAUCUUUAUCAACGACUUGGAUGAUGGACUCAAGGGCAUCCUGAUCAAAUUUGCAGAUGACACCAAACUGGGAGGGGUGGCUAACACCCCAGAGGACAGGAUCACACUUCAAAACGACCUUGACAGAUUAGAGAACUGGGCAUAGAACUCUACUUCUCUGCAUACCUCUGAAAGAGCACUGAACUCAGCCUCAGUGGAUGAGAGCGCUAUAAGACUUUGUUCUUGGACCUCCAUCCAACUACUGAGUUUCCAAACUUCACCACUAGGCCAGACACAGACUUGCGAUCCUCAAGAUUAGCCCAAUCCGAAUCCACAAAACAAGUCAGUUUGACUUCUCCUUGUGCUGGUAACCUAAGACAAAAGUCUUUGGUUUCCUGCAAAUACCUCAGAACUCUCUUGAUGCCAUUCCAGGCUUGCACACUAGGGUUUGAAGCUUCCCUGCUGAGCAGAUUGACAGCAAACGCUAUAUCAGGUCUGCUCCACUGGGAUAGGUACAACAAACUCCCUAGGGCUGACUGAAACACUUCAGCAUUUUCGAACGCAGCGCGUUCUACUUGCUGGCUGUCCUUCACAAAACUAGUCUCCAUAGGACUUCUCACUCCUGCACAAUCACUCAUCCUGAACUUCUGAAGCAGUUGCUCAAUUUUGUCUUUCUGGCUGAGCAAGAAGCUUCCAUCCUGUGCACGCUCAACAUUGACACCUAGAUAGGUUUUGACAGCACCAAGCUGCUUAAGCUUGAACCGUUUACCUAGCUCUCUGGCAAACUUCUCUGCCUGUUUAUCUGUCUCUGAGAAGUAUAACAAAUCAUCAACCCAAAUCUGCAAAUACUCUUGUGUUGCACCUGGUCCUCUCAAAUAAAGGCAACUAUCAGCAACACUUCUUCUGAAACCUAGCUCUUCUAAGGCUUCAUUCAGGCACAUGUUUCAGUUUCUAGCAGAUUGACGUAAUCCAUAGAUGGAUUUGUGCAAUCUCCACACAACACCCUGCCUCAAGUUCUCAAACCCCGGAGGAGGAAUCAUGUACAGCUCCUCCUGGAGAUCUGAGUUUAGGUAGGCAACAUCCACAUCAAAGUGGUUUACCUUCCAGCCUCUCUGUGCUGCACAAGCUAAAAGCGUUCUCAGAGUCUCCGCUCGUGACGUUGGCGAAUACACCUCCGUGAAGUGUAUUCCCUUUCUCUGAGUGAAUCCUCGAGCAACUAAUCUGGCUUUAUACUGUGGCUCUCCAGUGUCAGUGGGUUUCAAGCGGUAAACCCACCUGCAACUCACAGCCUGUUUGCCUGGUGGCAACUCUGUGAGUGAGAACACACCUAGAUCUUUCAUGGACUUCAUCUCUUUGUCCAUUGCCCUGUGCCACUUGCCUGCUUCUUCCUCAGGUAAACUCUGAAUAUCCUCGAAGGAUUCAGGUUCACAUCUGGCUGAACCUACCCAGACGCCUGAAGCUUCAUACCGAUCAGGAGGCCUCCUUGUCCUCGCUGAUCUCCUCAGUGUGAAUCCUGGUGACCCUGCUGCUUCACUGGGUCCAGCUAAAUCAUCCUCAACUUCAGUGUCUUCCCCCUCUGACCUGCUGCGCCUCUUGGGCCUUACAGCUGGUCCAGCAGGUGAGGAAGGCUCACUCUUUGGCUCAGACUUGACACUUGCCUGAGGAGGUGUUCUAGGUUCCCCCCUCUGAGGGAUCCUGAGCUGUCCCUGCCUUGGACUCUGUCCCUGUGGUGGACCCUGUUGCUCUGGACCGUGGUCCCCAGCAACAAGUUCCUCUUCCUCCUCAACGUCUGAGUCAUAGAACGGCUGUGGAAUCACGUCUGGAUUAGCGUGCAGACGUUUCCACCCGGCUUGCUCACAGAACUCAGCGCUAUUGCUGAUAACCAACCUAGACUGGUUUCCACUUGGGUACGCAAACCGCCAGGCCUUUGAGCCAGGCUCAUAUCCUACAAAGAUCAUUCUUUUAGAUCUUGGCUCACCUUUCUUGCGUAGAGCCUUUGGAAUAAGCACCCAGGCCUCACAACCAAACACACGAAGGUAGUGUACCUUAGGCUUCUUUCUAUGCAGCAAGAAAUAAGGUGUAUUUCCUACACUAGAGUUGUACACUCUAUUCUGCGUAUGAACCACAAAUCUCCAGGCUUCAGACCAAUAUUUCUGGGGUAGCCCUGCGUGCCACAGGAUCGCAGACACAGCUUCCUCCACCGUCCUGUUCUUUCUCUCUGCGAUUCCAUUCUGUUGCGGAGAGUAAGGAGCGGACAGUCUGUGGCUAAUCCCCUUCUCCCUGAAGAAAUCCUGUAAAGCAGAACCAGUGAAUUCAAAACCUCUGUCACUUUGAAAGCCACGAACUUUGGUGUAAAAGGUUACCUCAACUGCGGUGAUCCAAUCCCUGAUCAUUUUAGCCGCCUCCCCUUUCUUUCUCAGAGAAAAGGUCCAAGCAGACCUCGAAAAAUCAUCAACCAGAAGCAGAGAAUACUUUGAUCCCCCCAGUGACUCAACUGACAUGGGGCCACACAAAUCUGCUUGAAUUAAUUCAAAGGGUUGUGUGGUCUGUCUCUCUGACUUUGGAUAGGAGCAUGUCACAAUUUUCGCCUGUUUACAUGCAUUGCAAUCUAAAAAUUUGUCACAAGUAUUAAAUUUGCACCCUUGUGUCAGUUCUGGUGCUUUCUUAAGAUACCCCCAAUUCAGAUGGGCGAAGCGUCUGUGCCAAAUAUGCGAACAACCAUGGUGGGGUGCUACAUUCACACAUUGCCCCUUCGCAUCUUCGGUGUCAUCCUCUCCUGUAGAAAAAGGCACACUUACAACAAACAAAUUGCCUUUAGACUGCACUGUGUACACGUGUUUCCCAUCCUUGGAAAACUCAUAUUUGGUGUAUCUUCAUCGUAAAAUAUUCCUGUUUCUCCAGCCCGUCGUCUUCUUUCGCAGAGGUCACUUAAAUUAGCAGACUUCACUCCCCUUCUUCACUUGAAAUAUGUGCAUUUGCUUCUUUUGUAAUUAAUUAUUCAAAAUUGCUGCAACUAGUGCGCGAUCAGAGACAGCGUCCAGGAGAGCCGAUGUCCACAUGGGGGCAUUCUGCCUAGGGCCCUCACCCCCUUCUUUCAAAUUAGGGGGUGAUUUUUGGGCACAGCAGGCAAGGGCAGUGUUCCCCAUUUCCUUGGGGCAACAAGGGAGGCUGCCUACUCCCAUAACAGCCUCUUAAUUACCCCGUGUGGGUCAGAGAGAUGGUAUUGUCGGCCAUCUUCCAAUGCGCCCCCUAGUGGCCCCUCCUGCAAUUUCUUAAAAGACCACUAGAUGGCACUAGCGUAUUUGUCGCUCCAGAGUCUAUGAUGACAGUAAGAAAGUCUUGUUGUUGACAUUCCUGGGUCACCAAGGCAACAAUCUCCUCGCUACCCCCCUCCUUGGGGCCUCUGCAGAUGUCCUCUCUGGUUGUCACGGCAACGGACUCCCCCCGGCACGUCCCCACGACCUUCACAGCUUCCGUAGAUGCAACUCUCUCAGUUGCCUUGGAGACUGGACUUGUCUCAGCGUUCUCACACAACUCCUCCUGAUAGCCGCCUGCUAUCAGCAAACUUCCCAGCUGCGCGACCUUGAAGCCUUUAGCUGAAUUCAGCUUCGCACGGCUAGGCUCCAGCUCUUGGCGUAAACAACUCUUGGCAGCUUUUGGAGAAAGAGGCGUCUCUGAGCUGUCACUGCUCACUGCCCCCCCACUACUCACGGGGCCUCCAGAACAUUUUCCUGCACCCCCUCUGGUGGGUAAAGGGCUCCCAACUCUUGGCCUCUCUCCUGGCUCCUCACACAGACACGUUGCAGCAUCCAUACAGCUCCCAGGCUCAGCAAAAGCACCAGCAGCAUUGCCAGCAACAGCAACAGCAACAGUCCCUUCGCCCCCCUGUGGGGGCUCCCAGCUCCUCCCAGCUGUGUAUUGGCUCUCAAGAAUCUGGCCGGUGCCAUCUUGGCUCUCUCUCUUUGGGGCAGCCACGUCUCGGCCCUUGCUUCCCACCCCAGCUUCACAAGCCUUUCGGAGUGCUUGCCAAGCGGCCUCUGGCCUUUUUGCACCCAGGACAACUGGCACUAGAUGAGCAUCCACACUUUCAGCCAAAAAAGCAAGGACACGCUUCUCCAUGUCACUUUGCUCUGCAGCCUUUUCAGCCUCUGCCUUCCCAGCUGCAUGCUGUGGGGGCUGGACUACGUCCCAGAGCUGCUCCCCCACCAGCAAAAGUUCCACUUGAAAGCUCCACUGUAGCCAAUUUUGGCUAUUCAGUUUCUGACAUGGCAGUUUAAACUCAAAGCCAUGUCCCUGGGGCUGUGCCAUGCCUCCCUUCUCCCUUCUGUGGCGUUUGCAGUACUCACUCAUUUCUGCCAACUGGGUGUUCCGGAAAGACCUGGCAUCGCAGCUCCCUUGCUCCGUCAGCCUCCUCUGAUCUGCCCUUUGAAGUCUUGGCAGUCGAUCAAACUGACGUUCAGCAAAUAAAGCUUCAAAGCCCUUUCUCACACGCUUCGCGUUGACCACCCAUAACCUAUUGGAUAGUUUAUUGCUUUAUUGCUCGGCGUCCAGCACGCUUCCCCCUGCGAGCCUCUGCAGGUCGUAAAGCAAUUAGCAAAGUUGCACAGCGGUCGUGUGUCGAAAGAGCAGUAAAUCAGUCCCAAACGUUGCUUCUGUCCUAAUAUCUCUUUAUUGGAACAAAAUAGCGUAUUUACAAUCUCCAACAGCCAUCCGAGUUAAGCUGCAUCUUCUUUCUCUGCUUGCAGCGUCUGAACAGACUGCUUUCGAUUUCCACUCAGCUCACAGCAUACAAAGCUGCUUUCCUCACGUCCUGGCUUACUUCCCUUGUAAGCCCCACCUCUCAGGCUCGAGGCAUAGAAGGUUAACCCUUCACUACACCCAACAGUUCCCAGGAUUCUUUGGGAGAAAUGUGCUUUAAAUGUGCACUGAGUGUGGAUUUGCCCUGGCUGCAGGCACACUACAGUGGUACCUCGGGUUAAGAACUUAAUUCGUUCUGGAGGUCCGUUCUUAACCUGAAACUGUUAUUAACCUGAGGUACCACUUUGGCUAAUGGGGCCUCCCUUCGCUGCCGCGCCACGAUUUCUGUUCUCAUCCUGAAGCAAAGUUCUUAACCCGAGGUACUAUUUCUGGGUUAGCGGAGUCUGUAACCUGAAGCAUCUGUAACCUGAAGUGUCUGUAACCCGAGGUACCACCGUAUAAUUUUAAGGUACAUUUGUAGCACAGUUUCUCCCUCAAAGAAUUCUGGGCACUGUAGCUUGCUAAGAGUUGCUGGGAAUUGUAAAUUCUGCGAGGGGCAAACUAAAGUGCCCAGAAUUCUUUGACAGAAAGAAUGUACUUGAAAGGGCCGCAGUUCCAAAUUCUGCCGAACGUUAGAUCCAGGGACUUGCACAGUGCUUCAAUUUCUUUCUUUCUUUUUACUGUUUCUCUCUCUCCACCCCUCACUUUUUUUAAAAAAAAAGGUAAACACAUUGUCUGUUUGGCCUAAUGUAUAGCACUGCUCAGACCUUUAUGGAAGACUCCAUGAAUUUCCCCAAUCCUCUUUGAAAGCCUUUAAAAUUGGUGGCACCGCUGCGUCCCGUGGGAGUGAGUUUUAUCGUUUAACUAUUGCACAGUGUGAACUCUUGCACUUUCUCUUCUAUCAAUCCUGAAUUUUUUCAAUCUUCAGCUUCGCUGGGCAUCCAGGAGUUCUUGUCUUAUGAGUGAGGAAUGGAAAUGUUUCUCCAUCCACUGUCCCCAAGCCAACACUCAAAAGUUGCAGUCAUGUGUUAAAAGUCUCUCCCUCCCUCCCUCUCUCUUUUUUUUUCCUUCUGAAGGGAACAAUGGCUUUCCCUGUGAGGAGAAGAGGCUCCCCACUUUGCCAUCUCCUCCUCUCAGUUCUGUCUGCAAAAGGCCUGCGUUUGUCUUUUGUCUAAUCCUUGUCCAAGGACCCAAAGCCUCUCUCUGACUCUUUCUCUUUUCCCGCCCCCUCCCAGCUAACACCAUCUGGGACCUUUGAGCCAAGGGGAAGAAUGUGGGGAUGUAGACAUUCAUGCUAAAUUGGGGGGGGGGGGGGAGAGAAUGUUUAGUCAGCACAUCGCUUCCUCACACGAGCCUGUUCUUUCGGCACAUUAUCAAAGAGGACUGUGGCCUGUUUUGUGGCAAAUGCUAUUUAUUAAGCCAAACGUUCCCAGUGGAACACAGAAAUCGAUGCAAACACACCCACCAGCUAGGUUUAAGGGUUUGACGGCCUCUCUGAGCUGUUGCACCAUCCUGUGAUUCAGAAGCCUAACCCCCUAGUCCUUAAACGCUUGCGGGUAAAGCACUCUGCCUAUGCUCAGCAGCUCUCUUUAAUGCUUCAGGUGCUCUACGGCUGAGCAUUGGAUCAGAUCAAAUUAUAUGGGGGGGAGCCAUAUAAUGUUCCAGAGGAGGAGGGCAGAUAACGUGGACAACAAGUGCAGCUGGAAGAGGAACAAGAUCAAGGAGGGGGCUGGACUAGAUGGUUCUCAGGAUCCCUUCUGACUGUACAAUUCUAUGAUCCUAUGGACUCCCCCUCUGGAUGUUAUUGUAUGACAAUCGCCAUCAGCUCCAGCCAGGAUGUCCGGUUGCUAAGGAUGGUGGAAAUUGUAGUAAGCAACAUCUGAAAGGCACAACAUUGGCUACACCUGAGGAUGGGGAGCGGGUGUGAAUGCAAGGCAUGUGUUUUAGCUCUGCCUAUUUAGGUGUUUUGAAUUAUGGUGUUGGAGGAGACUCUUGAGAGUCCCAUGGACUGCAAGAAGAUCAAACCUCUCCAUUCUGAAGGAAAUCAGCCCUGAGUGCUCACUGGAAGGACAGAUCCUGAAGCUGAGGCUCCAAUACUUUGGCCACCUCAUGAGAAGAGGAGACUCCCUGGUAAAGACCCUGAUGUUGGGAAAGAUGGAGGGCACAAGGAGAAGGGGACGACAGAGGACGAGAUGGUUGGACAGUGUUCUCGAAGCUACCAGCAUGAGUCUGACCAAACUGCGGGAGGCAUUGGAAGACAGGAGUGCCUGGUGUGCUCUGGUCCCUGGGGUCACGAAGAGUCGGACAUGACUAAACAACAACAAAUUUAGGUGUUUAGCCCCUAAGGAAAUUUGGCCUAUUGGGAGGGGAGAAGCUCUUACAUUUAAAACAUGUCUCCCUUUGCAAAAGAAAUAUACAGUGGUACCUCGGGUUACAUACGCUUCAGGUUACAGACUCCACUAACCCAGAAAUAGUACCUCGGGUUAAGAACUUUGCUUCAGGAUGAGAAUAGGAAUUGUGCUCCGGCGGCGCGGCAGCAGCGGGAGGCCCCAUUAGCUAGUGUGGUGCUUCAGGUUAAGAACAGUUUCAGGUUAAGAACGGACUUCUGGAACGAAUUAAGUACUUAACCCAAGGUACCACUGUAUCCUGGAAGCUGUGGUUUAUUCCUACAGAGCUACAAUUCCUGGUACCCUUAAAAAAAAAUGCAGUUCCCAGAAUUCUUUGCAGGAAGCCAUGCAUUUUAAAUGCGCAGGGCAUACAUUGCCCUAGAGCAGCAAAGCACAUGUUCUGUACCCCUGAGCUCCCCCCACCUCCUUUCUUCCACUUGUUCCAGUGGGGGGUUCACAGCCUACGUUGACAAGAGAGCCCUCCUGCCUUAUUCUGCCAUGGGGCGUCCUGCCCAGCUGGGACCACAACAACACCGGGCCCCUCAGGGUGCUCAGAGGAACCCACACGACUCAUGCGCUUAAGUGUUUAUGUUGGCCAAAGAAGUCAGUUUAUGCAAGUGCCCGUUUGAAGUGUGAAAAGGCCACUCGUCGUCUCUUUACAGAGUGUAAACACGCUGCCCUGGUGUAUUUAUGGAACGUGUUGGGAAGGUCAUUUUGAGAAAGGCAUGAUGGCCCGCCUCGCAAGCGCGGCGCUCUUCAGCAUUAGCCAGGAAUGUCUCUGGAGUCAUUCCAGAACCAGGUAUAGCACCUUGAGCUCCCUGGAGGAAGAAAAGGUGGGGCGUAAAUGCAAUAUAUGAAUGAAUGAAUGAGAAAAACCGAGGAAAAACCUAAACAGGAGGAUAAUUAAAAUGUAAUAAUAAAAAUAAAUAAUAGUAAAAAUAAUAAAAUAAAAUAAUAAAAAUAAAUUUUAAAAAAAGCAAAACCCCAUAGUGCCAAGGGAUUGGACUAGAUCAAGAUAAUAGUUCCCUUAAGAGCUGCAGUAUCUCUUAGUCCUUCCUUUGCUUUGCUUAAAUUUGAAGGGGUAUAAAACACCUAGGCAGGAGUUCCACAGGUGGUGCAUCCCAGCACCCCUCCGUACUCACGCUGCCAAACCCUGCAAUCUGCUUGCCACCCAACUCCUUAAUCAUCAGCAUCAAACGCAAAAAUACCAACCCAAACUAUCACUUAGCCUUUGCACAGCGCUUUCAAGGCGUCCAAAGCACUUCACACGCGUAUUAUCUAUAGUUAUAAUCCUCAACAACAGCCCUGUAAGGUAUGAUGACACCUUGCAGACAGGAAGACUGAGGUUGGAAUAAAGCCAUCUUCUAUAUAGCGAAGCUCGAAGCAGGCGUGGAAUCUGAACGAGGGACUUCCUGAUUCACAGCUCUUUCAGCCACUAAUCUUUCUCGCAAUAUUAAAAGGUUUAGAAUUGUUUUAAAAGCAGCAACCUCGCAGCAUUGUCUUGGCUGCCGUCCUGCUUUUGCGCGCGCCUGCAAGAGCGCGAGCAGCCGGGGAAGCGCCCUCUCUCCCCGCCCUCCUCCCUCCCCUCCGGCUCCCAACCAAAACAACACCGCAGGACUACAACUCCCAGCAUCCUCCUCGGCAGCCGUGACCUGGACCCCAGCUGAUAUUCAAAGCUGGCUGGAAAGCGAAGCUCAGAAGAGGAGAGCGCUAGUUUGCAGCGCGGCUGCUGCUGCUGCUGCGACUAACCCCGCAUCGCCGCCACCCACCUUCUUCUGAC